This is a non-coding RNA of Oryza sativa Japonica Group (Japanese rice), 484 nucleotides long. The record is from RefSeq and is a predicted model, not a curated record. NCBI's taxonomy places the organism in Eukaryota, Viridiplantae, Streptophyta, Magnoliopsida, Poales, Poaceae.
GCUGGCCGGCCUCGACACAAGGCAUUUACCCGUGCUCCUCCCGGCUCCUGCAGUCAUUGAGGGAUGGAAAUGGACCCGACCAUCCACCAGAUUAUCUUCUCGUGCAUCAUUAUGCUCACCAGAAAGAAACUGGAUAGGGCGAGAGCAGAUGAUCACUUCAGAGCUUGUUGUCAACAGGAGCAGGGUCCUACCUGUCGGCAGCGGGCCAUCUGGUGCUAGUAAGAGCAGAGGAUUCCUGCAAACAAAACAGCUCCAAGAAAUAACAGCCAAAGAACUCAAAGUAAAAAAAUGGAACAAUGUCUGCAUGAGAUUAGCUGGCAAUCGUCUCUUUUGGGGUAAGUCUAAAGCUAAAAAACAUAUCCAUGUUAAUGAAGAUAAGAGUUUCAGCAUCGGAUUCGUUCAUCUCGCAGACCCUGCUCCCUGAGUAGACUGUCCUGAUUAACUAGUUUACACCAAAUUUUAUUUUUGUCACUACAAUAUAAUU